Molecule: unclassified non-coding RNA, 1030 nt
Filed under: Hevea brasiliensis (rubber tree)
Lineage: Eukaryota; Viridiplantae; Streptophyta; Magnoliopsida; Malpighiales; Euphorbiaceae
Source: RNAcentral
GAAAAAAAAAAAAACUGUUCCAAGGCCCCAGUUCAAUAAUAUCACCACCAAAUUUGAUGGUAGAAAUAUAACUUAAAUGGUGUUACAACUUCUAUGUUGUCCACAAAAAUGAAAUAGGAUUUUGUUUUGGUUCAGAAAAAACGAAGUACCAUGACUGCCAUACUGUAACAUGUCAAAAACACCGACAAGGUAUACAUUCGCAGAAGAGCUCUUUUUUUUUUUUUUUGGAUCAAGUUGUCUAUAAUUCUAGCCAUAUUGAAUUAGCUAUGAGCAAUACAGUCAUAUAAUAUACUAAGACUCCUUUUCGUUUUAUGCUCUUCAUUCAUUCCAGGACAAUUCUAGUUAUUUGAAUACCUUUUAGACCCCAAAUCCAUUAAGGUUCCAGAAUUAAGGAUCCUAUGUUUUUUUUUAAUCAAAAUUAAUCAAUUAGACAUAAAAUUAACGGCAUGUAGCCAUGUCCAAGCCCUUUCAUUAUAAAUGGAUUUCCAAAUGCAUUUAGUCAUGUCAAAGCCCUUCCAUCAUCUAUGGAGCUUCCCAGUACGUAAUACAAAACCUGCAUCAGUGAUGCCAAUUCCACUAACAAAUUGGCCAAAUGCUCCAGUAGUGCAGGUGUGAGAAUCAGUAACCAACAGAACCUUAAAACUUGAAUUUGAGAUUUGACAAAGUAACCUUAUUGUUGCACUUGCACCAAGGCGACUCCUCAAAUGCACACACACUGGAACAAACUUCACAAAUACCUCGUUGACCAAUCUAUGGAAUGUCAAGAUGAAGAGGAUGAUUAUUGAAAGUAAGGGGCGCAUGGUUCUUGGGGGUUCCGAACUGAACUGAACUUAUUUUACUAUUUUAGUUCAGUUUGGUUUUUCACUAAGAACUAAACAAGAACCAAUUUUAUACAUAAGUUUUUCUAUUUUUUUUAGAUAUAUUAUAUCAAUUUAAUUAUAUAAUAGUACACAGUUAGGAUUAUGACAACUUACUAUUAUCUUUCAUUCCUCUAUCUCUUCUUAACAAUUUUAGUUAUAAAUACAUUAAA